CUCCCCGGCGACGGGGAGAGGAAAGUCCGAACUCUCACGGGCAGCAUGCUCGCCAACGGCGAGGCGCGGCGACGCGACGGACAGUGCAACAGAGAGCAGACCGCCGGGGCGCAGUCGGCUCCGGUAAGGGUGAAAGGGUGCGGUAAGAGCGAACCGCCCGGCCGGCGACGGUCCGGGGCACGGCAAACCCCAUGCGGAG
This 199-nucleotide RNase P RNA is filed under the name Thermoanaerobaculia bacterium. Its description in RNAcentral is "RNase P RNA component class A". It matches the Rfam family "Bacterial RNase P class A", at positions 20 to 222 of the family's 367-position model. Rfam says of the family: Ribonuclease P (RNase P) is a ubiquitous endoribonuclease, found in archaea, bacteria and eukarya as well as chloroplasts and mitochondria. Lineage: Bacteria; Pseudomonadati; Acidobacteriota; Thermoanaerobaculia. The record is from RNAcentral.